Molecule: ribosomal RNA, 519 nt
Filed under: uncultured eukaryote
Lineage: Eukaryota
Description: SSU rRNA
Rfam family: Eukaryotic small subunit ribosomal RNA
Source: RNAcentral
AGGGCACCACCAGGAGUGGAGCCUGCGGCUUAAUUUGACUCAACACGGGAAAACUCACCCGGCCCGGACGCCGUAAGGAUUGACAGACUGAGAGCUCUUUCUUAAUUCGGUGGGUGGUGGUGCAUGGCCGUUCUUAGUUGGUGGAGCGAUUUGUCUGGUUAAUUCCGAUAACGAACGAGACUCUGGCCUAUUAAAUAGACGAUGUAUCGAAAAGUAUGUCGCGCUUCUUAGAGGGACAAGCGGCGUCUAGCCGCAUGAAAUAGAGCAAUAACAGGUCUGUGAUGCCCUUAGAUGUCCGGGGCUGCACGCGCGCUACACUGAAAGAAUCAGAGGGCGCAUUGCCUAGUCCGGAAGGAUUGGGUAACCCAAGUAAAUUCUUUCGUGCUUGGGAUAGGGAGUUGCAAUUAUUUCCCUUAAACGAGGAAUUCCCAGUAAAUGCGGGUCAUAAGCCCGCGUUGAUUACGUCCCUGCCCUUUGUACACACCGCCCGUCGCUACUACCGAUUGGAUGACUUAGUGA